GACGAACGCUGGCGGCGUGCUUAACACAUGCAGGUCGAACGGAAAGGUCCUGCUCUUGUGGGGUGCUCGAGUGGCGAACGGGUGAGUAACACGCGAGUAACAUGCCCCUGUCUUUGGGAUAACUUCAGGAAAAUGGGGCUCAUAUCGGAUAGGAGAUACUGAUGCGUGGUGGGGGUUGGAAAGUUUCGGCGGUUGGGGAUGGACUGGCUGCUUAUCAGCUUGUUUGUGGGGUAGUGGCUUACGAAGGCUUUGACGGGUAGCCGGCCUGAGAGGGUUGCCGGCCACCUGGGGACUGCGGGACGGCCCAGUAUCCAACGGGAGGCAGCAGUGGGGAAUAUUGCACAGUGGCGGGAAGUCUGAUGUGGCAACCCCGCGUGCGGGAAGACGUCCUUCGGGGUGUAAACCGCUGUCGCCGGUGACGAAGCGGUAGUGACGGUAAUGGGUAAAGAAGCACCGGCUGACUACGUG
Molecule: ribosomal RNA, 468 nt
Filed under: uncultured bacterium
Lineage: Bacteria
Description: partial 16S ribosomal RNA
Rfam family: Bacterial small subunit ribosomal RNA
Source: RNAcentral